RNAcentral lists this ribosomal RNA (253 nucleotides) under uncultured Armatimonadota bacterium. Its description in RNAcentral is "uncultured Armatimonadetes bacterium partial 16S ribosomal RNA". It matches the Rfam family "Bacterial small subunit ribosomal RNA", at positions 524 to 776 of the family's 1533-position model. The record is from RNAcentral. Lineage: Bacteria; Bacillati; Armatimonadota.
UACGUAGGGGGCGAGCGUUGUCCGGAUUUACUGGGCGUAAAGCGCGUGUAGGCGGCUGCCUAAGUGGGGUGUGAAAGCCCGGGGCUCAACCCCGGGACGCCGCUCCAGACUGGGUGGCUUGAGGACGGAAGAGGGGAGUGGAAUUCCUGGUGUAGCGGUGAAAUGCGUAGAGAUCAGGAGGAACACCCGUGGCGAAGGCGGCUCCCUGGUCCGUCCCUGACGCUGAGACGCGAAAGCGCGGGGAGCGAACGGG